Long non-coding RNA from Apteryx rowi (Okarito brown kiwi), 1608 nucleotides. The record is from Ensembl. Lineage: Eukaryota; Metazoa; Chordata; Aves; Apterygiformes; Apterygidae.
UGUAAGCAAUAUCAAACACAAAGAAACCGAUUCCAGGAGGAAGCCACGUGCUUGCCUUUCAGCUCAUCUCAGCCGAAUAACGCGAACAAACUCAACCUGCAUUUCCCAGCUCCUCCACCUGACCCCGAGGAGUAUUUUUCCCCUGAAAAGAGAAGAUCCACCCAGCCCUAUGGCACGUCAGAUCGAAGACGGGGCCCGCUCCGCGUCUCUAGCCUCCAGGCCGCGUUACGGGCGCAUGCCAGCAUCCGUGGCUCCUUCCAACCGCCGUCCACCGAGCGCGCUCCGCCGAGGCUGCUUUUUCGGUAUGCAGAAAAUGCGUUAAGUGCGUGUUUGAGAGUCGCACAGGGCUCGGCCUCAUCUCACCGCGUUCGCGGUAGCUGCGCUGGCGUCCAACCCUGCUCCCUCCGCCGCGGCUCGUCCCUGCUCCCCGCCGCCAAAGCAUAUCCCUGUCAAUGCCGACGCCAGCAGGGCUCCCUUCAGCACCGGCAAAACCUCCGGGAAUGGAAGGGCAGAAGCCACCCGCUGGGCGAACGCGCAGCGAUACGGGUUCGUCGCUCCGUCAGUCGCAAAGGGGCAUUGAAUGGCAAAACACAGGCGCAGCAGCCGGAGAGCCAAGAAAGCCCCUGGGGAAGGCGGCCGAGGGGUUUUUCAGGCACAGGAUGCUCCGACUGCGCUGGAGCCUUCCAAGCUCAUUUCGGAGGCAGGGACGUUUCCAAGGCCCAGGGGGUUAUUUCCCUCCUGGGAACCGUGUGGGAGCCUGCGGAUGCUCCUCCGGAGGGUGGAAAGGUACAAGCUGAACCGCUGCGAGCUGGGCGCCCCUUCCUUGCUCGGGAUAGCCGGAGAGGGGGAGACGGCAGCCGGGAGCAUUGGCGGGCGAGGGGCAGUGGGUUCACGCUGGAAACCCCCAGGAGCGAGCGUCGCGGGCUCGGGCCGCACACGGAGGCGGACGCGUGUCCUCGGCUGGCGGAGGGAAGGGUGACGCCGCGCUGGGGAAGCGGCCGCCACUUCCUCCUGCCACCACGCACCCUUUUAGGUCCCCUUCGCCCCGUGAAGAGCGGGCCAGGCCGGGCCACCCGGAGCUCUGCCGCAGCCCAGGCCUGGCUUGGCAAGCAGAGGCCAGAGCUGCGGGGUCCCGGGGGAAGCAACGGGGUCCUCGGCCCCCCCAGCAGCAGACGGCCCCGCAGGAAGAGCCUUCGCCGGGCACGUGGAGCAGCGGCCGGGCAGCGCAGGGGUGGUUUAAAGCCCAGCUGCCCCCACUUGCCCCAAACCCGCCAGGCUGCUAUGGGCCAAAGCACAAAACCGACCUGCCGAAACCUCGGCGCCCAGCUUCCCUCCGCGCCCUGCACGCACGCCGGGAUCUCCCUGCGCGCCCUCCUCUCCGAGGAGGAUUUUAUUUGCUUGCCCAGGGCUCGCAGCAGCGGCGGCCGCUUCAAGGGGGGUGUUUUAAUAAAAAAAAAUCAACGCGAGGGCCAGCGGGCAGCGUUCCUGGCGGGAGGGAGGAAGAUGCUCCCAAGCAGCCCCCCAAAGGCAGCACCUGCCGCACAGCGUAAGCCGGGCGCCCGCCCGGUGCCACGACGGCGGGGAGCCCGGCCGGGCACCUGCGGCCCC